CUUGUUAUUGCCAGUGAUGUUAAUCCAUUGUUUAUGAUACAAUUUAUGGCAAAUAAGAUUUAGAUAGGAAUGACAUGGAACACAAUACUAUUGUGAAUUGGUGUAGCCCUGGUGUCUUUUGGUAUAUCAACUAUCUAUUUCGAGUUGUAUUUCAGCAUCAAACGUUUCAUGAUAUUUAUAGAUAGUAAUAACUUCUCCUGCAGGAUGAAGGAACUGGCUGAGAUAUUGCAUCCAGUUACACGAAGUUUUUUAACUACAAUUAUCAUAACUGUUUGAAUGUGAAUUCAUGUAAAUAAAAACACAUUUUGUCCAAAC
This 315-nucleotide long non-coding RNA is filed under the name Mytilus galloprovincialis (Mediterranean mussel). Lineage: Eukaryota; Metazoa; Mollusca; Bivalvia; Mytilida; Mytilidae. The record is from RNAcentral.